UGAUAUAAAGGAACAUUAUGUCUUGU
RNAcentral lists this non-coding RNA (26 nucleotides) under Rattus norvegicus (Norway rat). Lineage: Eukaryota; Metazoa; Chordata; Mammalia; Rodentia; Muridae. The record is from RNAcentral.